AUGAGCUGCUCAGCCAACAGUCCCCCUAAAGUGAGCGUCCUGCCGCCGUCCAGUGAAGAGAUUUCCACAAAGCAAACAGCAACACUGAUGUGUGUGGCCAACAAGGGCUUCCCCUCAGACUGGAGUCUGAACUGGAAGGUGGACGGGAUCAGCAGCAGGUCUCAGUACAGCAGUGUUGCUCUCCUGGAGAAGGACGGUCUGUACAGCUGGAGCAGCAGUCUGACUCUCUCUGAGCAGGAGUGGAGCUCAGUGAUCUCAGUCAGCUGUGAGCUCACACAGAAAGACCAGCGUGAUAAAGUCACUGGAGAAUUGAGGAGAGAUCAGUGUUCACAGUAGAUCCACUCACUCUCUCCUCUGUCUCACAUCAAGACUAACAGACUAACUGUGUUUCUCUCUCUCAUCUCACAUCUCUUUUCACAAACAACAC
Molecule: non-coding RNA, 427 nt
Organism: Misgurnus anguillicaudatus (oriental weatherfish)
Lineage: Eukaryota; Metazoa; Chordata; Actinopteri; Cypriniformes; Cobitidae
Source: the annotation of a RefSeq genome assembly